Molecule: unclassified non-coding RNA, 712 nt
Filed under: Hevea brasiliensis (rubber tree)
Lineage: Eukaryota; Viridiplantae; Streptophyta; Magnoliopsida; Malpighiales; Euphorbiaceae
Source: RNAcentral
AGUGAGGCUCCAAGUCAUGUGCUUUACGAGCCUUAUGGAAUUAACUUAAUAGAAUCAGUUGAAAUUGGUGCCUUAAUUCAUUCUACCAUCCGUCUCCCCAGAGACUUGAAAUGGCCAAACCCCCCUUUUCCUCUUCUUGCUUCAGUUUAUUUUCCUCCUCUUCAUCAUCAUUUUGUUCUGUAUUCAUUCUUCUCUGACAGGUUUCUUCAUUGUUCCUUGUUCUCCUCCAUUUUUGUCCUAAGUGCUCUGAUGUCCCCAUCCCCCUUUUCUCUUAAUCUCUUUAUCAUUCUUGUUGCCUCCUGCACUAUGUUUUCUUUUUUGCUUAGUUUAUUAUCUUUUUGCAACCUGUUUGCCACCUGCAUGAUUUGCUUCCUUUUCUAAUUUUCUUUUUGAUGAAACAGGUAUAAUUUCUUAAGUGUAACAUAAUUUGUAAUGCCUGCUUGUUCAAACAGUAUGCUCGAGUGCUCAUGGAUGAAAUUUGUAAUUGCAAAAAACAGAUCACAAAUCAGAAAAUUUUAAUCAACAAUAAAGUGGUAAUUAUGUUAAACGGUUUAGUUUCAGUUACUUUGAUCACAAAUCAGAAAAUUUUAAUCAACAAUAAAGUGGUAAUUAUGUUAAACGGUUUAGUUUCAGUUACUUUGAUCACAAAUCAGAAAAUUUUAAUCAACAAUAAAGUGGUAAUUAUGUUAAACGGUUUAGUUUCAGUUACUUU